GACGAACGCUGGCGGCGUGCUUAACACAUGCAAGUCGAACGGAAAGGCCCUGCUUGCAGGGUACUCGAGUGGCGAACGGGGGAGUAACACGUGGGUGAUCUGCCCUGCACAUCGGGAUAAGCCUGGGAAACUGGGUCUAAUAUCGGAUAGGAGCCAUUUUUAUUGUGGUGGUUGGAAAGUUUUUUCGGUGUAGGAUGAGCUCGCGGCCUAUCAGCUUGUUGGUGGGGUAAUGGCCUACCAAGGCGGCGACGGGUAGCCGGCCUGGGAGGGUGGACGGCCACCUUGGGACUGAGGUACGGCCCAGACUCCUACGGGAGGCAGCAGUUGGGAAUAUUGCACAAUGGGGGCGAGCCUGAUGCAGCGACGCCGCGUGGGGGAUGACGGCCUUCGGGUUGUAAACUCCUUUCGCUAGGGACGAAGCUUUUUGUGACGGUACCUAGAGAAGAAGCACCGGCUAACUACGUG
This 465-nucleotide ribosomal RNA is filed under the name uncultured bacterium. Its description in RNAcentral is "partial 16S ribosomal RNA". It matches the Rfam family "Bacterial small subunit ribosomal RNA", at positions 28 to 507 of the family's 1533-position model. The record is from RNAcentral.